Molecule: transfer RNA, 85 nt
Filed under: Microcaldota archaeon
Lineage: Archaea; Nanobdellati; Microcaldota
Also listed under: 1 other name
Description: Candidatus Micrarchaeota archaeon (hot springs metagenome) tRNA-Leu
Rfam family: tRNA
About the family: Transfer RNA (tRNA) molecules are approximately 80 nucleotides in length. Their secondary structure includes four short double-helical elements and three loops (D, anti-codon, and T loops). Further hydrogen bonds mediate the characteristic L-shaped molecular structure. tRNAs have two regions of fundamental functional importance: the anti-codon, which is responsible for specific mRNA codon recognition, and the 3' end, to which the tRNAs corresponding amino acid is attached (by aminoacyl-tRNA synthetases). tRNAs cope with the degeneracy of the genetic code in two manners: having more than one tRNA (with a specific anti-codon) for a particular amino acid; and 'wobble' base-pairing, i.e. permitting non-standard base-pairing at the 3rd anti-codon position.
Source: RNAcentral
GGAGGGGUAGCAAAGCCUGGUCAAAUGCGCAGGACUUAGGAUCCUGUCCCUUAGGGGUUCGUGAGUUCAAAUCUCACCCCCUCCA